UUCCUUCUGAAUGCCAGCGGCUUCAAGUUCAAGACAACAAGGCACCUGCCCGCCGAUCGGUGCAGCAGCGGCUGCUGUUUGAGUGAGUGUAACUUACCAGGCAGGUAAAUAUCAUCUCUGUGUGUGUGUCGUGUUCAACAGAUGAUUUGCACUGACUGACUGACUUCUUAUUUACGCGUGACAUCGCGACAACCUGUGACAGGUCUAGGAGUGGCAUUCUGGAUGCGUCGAUCCUCCGUUUCAUCUGCGCUUUUUAAACGCUUCAGUUCGGUUCGGUUUACUUAGUUAAUUUUCUUACCGAGCGCCGAACAACAAAGCAAGACAAAUAGACAGCUGCUGGCGAUAUGAAAUUGCUGCGACAGCUGCGCAGUUAUCACAGCUGUAACCGGCCACAGCUCAGCUGUUUCACCACGCGCUACAAGUCCGUCUUUACAAAUUCGUGACGCUGCGUUCAAGUUCGCAGAAGCCCAGAAGGGUCGAUCAUUCGUACACCAGUUAACUUUGCACAUCCCCCCCGCCCGGCGAUCGAUUCCUCCAGUUCAGCCACUCGCAGGGCAAGUAGUGGGCGCAGCGCGCAUCUGUCCGCGAGGAGGUGUGGCCCACUUGUCAGAGCUGACGUGUUGUUAGGUGGCAUCUGUCGGAAAGGCUGGCACCAGCACUUCUUGCCCCUGCUGCACACUGCUGAAAUCUCCACUCUUUUUAGUGCCUCCCUCAGAUUGCUCCUCUUGCCUAUCGCUUGUCCAGGAAGGGCGGGUGAGUCCGCGCCACCGAGCUGUGAGCAAACAUGGGCCGGCUGGAUGAUGCUGCCAAGCGCAAGGUGGUGGAGCUGCGACAGGCAGGCCUGAGUUUCCGCAAGAUCAAGGCCGUCCUGGAGCUGGAGAACAUCAAGGUGUCCGCCCAGGCCAUCUACCUCUUUCUGAAGGAGUUCCAGGGGAAGGUCAGGCCCGAAGAAGCAGGGCCCGGGGGUGCGGUGGUGCCGCCGAGCGCGGAAGCAGGGACUGCUAAUGCUGGGAGGCAGACAGGGUGGACGGACCAGCAGCUGUGCACAAUGAUGAGGGAGGGGCCACGUGGUAUCAGCUAUGCUGCCUCUGUGAAUUCUGUGCUUGCGCGGACAAGGGAUGCACCCACACCCUUGGGCUCCACUGGUACCAGCGGCACAGCGGUUCAGGAUGAGGAGGGGAUCCGAAUUGUAAGUGUGACCUCGCUUGCCCGUGGUUCCCAGCCUGAAGGGGGCCCCCAGGCAGCUGCAGCUGGACCCUCCGCUGGCCCGUCAACAGGUGGAGCUGCGGCGAGGAGAAAAAUCCUCCUGUCACCAGUGUCCAACUGCAUCCUGGCAGCUCGCAGGAGGCUGCUGGACAAGGCCCUGCUCCACAAGGCUCGGAUAAGAGAGAUGGUUCCUGUGUCUGGCCAGCCGGUGGCGGCAUUGUGUAGAAGGGACCUGUCUUGCCAGGCAAGUUCUGAAGCUCGGAAAGUCUCUAUAUUGACUCAGAGUCCGUCCUUUGGCCUAAACCCACCUCGACCUGCUCUUACGAGGAGCCGCCCCGGAGCCCCUGCUGCCAGUCCUGCCCGGCGGAUGUUCCAGCAGCGGGCUGGGCUGUCAUUCCGCUCCCUGCACCCACCUCUCCAGAGGGACCCGCUUUCUUGUGCUGGAGUUCGUGGGAGCAACCCUGUGCCAUCUCCUCCUGCUGCCCAGGGUACAAGCAUGAGUGGCAUCAGAGCACAGCAGCCCCCCAACCAGCCCCCCAGUGCCACCCCACAGAAACAAGCCCCAGAACCAGUGGUCCGGUGUGGGCUGCAGGACCAGGUGCAGACUCUGGGAGCAGAGCUCCGAAACCUGGGUGCUGCCAUGCAGCUGCUGGCAGAGCAGCAGGGGCGCCUGGAACGUGAACAGGCUGCACAGACCCAAGUGCAAAGGCAGAUCCUAAGUACGCUCCAGGGCAUUGCCUCCAGGCUGGGCCCUGCAGCUCAGCACCACAGCAGAACCCCCCCACCCCCUGGAUCCUCCUCUUACAGCCAGAGCUCCUUUGUUCCCACGUCAUCCAAUUACAGCCAGGGCAGCCCAGCCCAGUCGAAGUCCUGUGCAGUGGACAGCUCUGGCCUGUGUGCUCUGGAGACCUUCAAACUAACAGGCCUGAGCCCUCAGGCAGUGAAUGGUUUUCCAUCGUGCAGCAGUGAUGCUCCCCCUCUGAGUACCGCAGCCACGUUCUCACAGUCACAGACCCAUACUGUGGCAUACACACAGUCGCAAGCGACAGCAUACAGCCAGUCAUACAAGCUGUCGUGCAAGGAGGAGCGCCACCCUGAGCCUUUAGACCCUCUGCACAACUGCAGUCUGUCAGCUCGAUCCUCCACCAAUGCAGGUUCGCCUGUCUCCUCGUCACCACAGGACCCACAGUUCACCAUCGUUAAGGCAGAGACACUCUGAAACAACAGUUCAGUUUACAGUGGGUUAUAUCAUAUGUGGCUAAAGCCAUUCAAGUUUAAGAAACACACAAAAAUUGUCUUACCCACAAGAGACUGUUUUGAUGUCAAUAGGCAAAAACAAUAUUUAACAUAAUGCAGAUGUUAAGUGGGUUGGUACCAACAGGACUGAAGAAUCUUUUGUCUAGACUGUUUCCCCACAUGCCUAGGUCUGCCAGCAUGUUCUAAAGUAGAUAAAGAUCUAUAUGGUCAAAGACUCUUCCAGCACUCAUGGUCAUUUCUGCGUUUUAUACUGUGUAAAUUCCUAUUCAAUCUUUUAACUGUUUAUAAAGCCAGAUUUGGUUACUUGGAUAAAAGCUGGAUGUUAAAAAUAUUAAUGUGCAUCUUUGUUUAUCAAAUGUUUUACACCUAACCAUACUGUAGGAGAAAAGACCUCUUGGAGCACCCUUGUAUAUUUCAGCAGUGUCACUGUGCCACUGUGUUACAUUCACAUGAAUUUUUGAAAAAAAAUUUUCUGUUAGUUUCUUCUUUGCUUUAUUUCUCCCUUUUUAUUAACAAAAGAACAGCACUAGGUCAAAGUAACAUGGAGACAAUUUCCGAAAUUUCUGUUGCAUAGCAAACACUAUCUUCAUUUCUACACCAAGAUAUAAACUAGCAGGAAAAUGUACCAACCAGAUGAAUCAUGUGGGUCCAAAUUAAUUCAACUCACUUCCGCAAGUGUUUACAGCUUGUGUUUGCUGUUCCUAGGUGUUGGUGAUCAAUAGCAAGGUGAGAAACAUUGCACAUUUAGCCUUACAGAAAAUUUUUGAUUUAUUAUAGUUAUCCAAGACUUUUAGAGAACCUACCUUAGUCACGGCACAUCUUUUUUUAUUGAAUAAUAAAGGAAACUGAAAGUGGCCA
Molecule: long non-coding RNA, 3321 nt
Filed under: Scleropages formosus (Asian bonytongue)
Lineage: Eukaryota; Metazoa; Chordata; Actinopteri; Osteoglossiformes; Osteoglossidae
Description: lncRNA (ENSSFOG00015029448.1)
Source: RNAcentral